AUUGAACGCUGGCGGCAUGAUUUACACAUGCAAGUCGAACGGUAACAGGCCGCAAGGUGCUGACGAGUGGCGAACGGGUGAGUAAUGCAUCGGAACGUGCCCAGUCGUGGGGGAUAACUACUCGAAAGAGUAGCUAAUACCGCAUACGAUCUAUGGAUGAAAGCGGGGGACCGUAAGGGCUCGCGCGAUUGGAGCGGCCGAUGUCAGAUUAGGUAGUUGGUGGGGGAAAGGCUCACCAAGCCAACGAUCUGUAGCUGGUCUGAGAGGACGACCAGCCACACUGGGACUGAGACACGGCCCAGACUCCUACGGGAGGCAGCAGUGGGGAAUUUUGGACAAUGGGCGCAAGCCUGAUCCAGCAAUGCCGCGUGCAGGAAGAAGGCCUUCGGGUUGUAAACUGCUUUUGUACGGAACGAAACGGCUCUGGUUAAUACCCGGGGCUAAUGACGGUACCGUAAGAAUAAGCACCGGCUAACUACGUG
RNAcentral lists this ribosomal RNA (482 nucleotides) under uncultured bacterium. RNAcentral's name for it is "partial 16S ribosomal RNA". It matches the Rfam family "Bacterial small subunit ribosomal RNA", at positions 30 to 507 of the family's 1533-position model. The record is from RNAcentral.